RNAcentral lists this long non-coding RNA (1004 nucleotides) under Bos taurus (domestic cattle). Its description in RNAcentral is "long non-coding RNA NONBTAT019650". Lineage: Eukaryota; Metazoa; Chordata; Mammalia; Artiodactyla; Bovidae. The record is from RNAcentral.
UUUUUGCUAAGAAUAGAAUAGCUAAAGCAGGUCUGGGUCACUUUAUUAGAACUAAGGAAACAUAAUAUGUGAUGCACAGAACUUUAGACAAAUUAGGCAACCCCUUGGGGCCAGUAAACACCCUCCUAGACUAACACAGAACUUGGAACAGGCCCAGUUGAAAAUUUGAAUCAGGUUUGCAGAAAAACAAAGGCUGGCAAGAAUAUAACUUUGGAAGAUUUACUCACUAAUUUUAGAGCUGCUGGAGGCCAACCAAAGAGAUUUGGGUUAUACAUUACCUAAGACUUAUGAUGGGAACUGGACUUACUAAGCCAAUUAAAGAAUGAUUCAUUCAACCAGUCAGUAAUCAGUAACUAGUUAGCAAUCUGUUGAUUUAGUUAAAAAUGAUCUAUCCGUUGUGCAUGUAGCCCAGUGAAAAUUUCUCCUCUCUUUCACUUAUUAUGCUCACAAUUGUCAUCCAGUUUGUGGUAGUAAUACAGAUCCAGUUCUGCAUGUUAAGUAAUCCGUGGUAUACAUAUAUACGUAUAUAUUCAUUUGUUCACAUACUAAUUCAGCAUAUAUAUAUAGAGGAACACCUCUCAUAGGCCAGGCACUCUGGGGAUCCUUUGUUAAUGUCUCUGCUUCUGUUUGCCUCUCGCUUCUCUUCCCCUUCCCCCAGGCCCCGCCUUACAUCUAUUAGCAUACAUCCCUAGCAUACUAGGAAACUGGACCAUUUUACUCUGGCAUUUUCCUCACUGGUUCACCCACCUGCAUACUAUGUAUAGUACUACACCCAUCAUGUAAACCCACAAUGAAAUUCUGACAGUUUCCUAAUAUUGGUGAAACUGUUUAUAAGCACUUUCAGAUCCAUCAUCUCAUUUAAUGAAGACAUGACAUUGCUGACGCAAAACACGUAGUGUAUGCACUUUAAAACCUCUAUGAAUUUGGCUUUCUUUUAACGUUCAUACAGUUGGUUUUGUAUGUAAACACUGGGCACACUUAGCAGGCUCAUUCACCUGGAAUAG